RNAcentral lists this ribosomal RNA (550 nucleotides) under Salmonella enterica. RNAcentral describes it as "partial 23S ribosomal RNA". It matches the Rfam family "Bacterial large subunit ribosomal RNA", at positions 640 to 1191 of the family's 2925-position model. The record is from RNAcentral. Lineage: Bacteria; Pseudomonadati; Pseudomonadota; Gammaproteobacteria; Enterobacterales; Enterobacteriaceae.
GCAAGGUUAACCGUAUAGGGGAGCCGGAGGGAAACCGAGUCUUAAUUGGGCGUUAAGUUGCAGGGUAUAGACCCGAAACCCGGUGAUCUAGCCAUGGGCAGGUUGAAGGUUGGGUAACACUAACUGGAGGACCGAACCGACUAAUGUUGAAAAAUUAGCGGAUGACCUGUGGCUGGGGGUGAAAGGCCAAUCAAACCGGGAGAUAGCUGGUUCUCCCCGAAAGCUAUUUAGGUAGCGCCUCGUGAAUUCAUCUCCGGGGGUAGAGCACUGUUUCGGCUAGGGGGCCAUCCCGGCUUACCAACCCGAUGCAAACUGCGAAUACCGGAGAAUGUUAUCACGGGAGACACACGGCGGGUGCUAACGUCCGUCGUGAAGAGGGAAACAACCCAGACCGCCAGCUAAGGUCCCAAAGUCAUGGUUAAGUGGGAAACGAUGUGGGAAGGCCCAGACAGCCAGGAUGUUGGCUUAGAAGCAGCCAUCAUUUAAAGAAAGCGUAAUAGCUCACUGGUCGAGUCGGCCUGCGCGGAAGAUGUAACGGGGCUAAACCAUG